CUACGGAGGGUGCAAGCGUUAAUCGGAAUUACUGGGCGUAAAGCGCGCGUAGGCGGAUAUUUAAGUCUCAUGUGAAAGCCCUGGGCUCAACCUGGGAACUGCAUGGGAUACUGGGUAUCUAGAAUACAGUAGAGGGUAGUGGAAUUUCAGGUGUAGCGGUGAAAUGCGUAGAGAUCUGAAGGAACAUCAGUGGCGAAGGCGACUACCUGGACUGAUAUUGACGCUGAGGUGCGAAAGCGUGGGGAGCAAACGGGAUUAGAAACCCCAGUAGUCC
RNAcentral lists this ribosomal RNA (274 nucleotides) under uncultured bacterium. RNAcentral's name for it is "partial 16S ribosomal RNA". It matches the Rfam family "Bacterial small subunit ribosomal RNA", at positions 523 to 796 of the family's 1533-position model. The record is from RNAcentral.